CCGGACAAUUGUUUAGCACAAACCAAACCAUUUUUUCAUAAUCAUGCUCAAGAUAUGUAAGAUUUGGUGCUCCUAUAAGAUAGGCUCCAUGCUGGAAAACAGAUAGCUCUCCUUCCUCAAUAACAACACGCUCUCUGUUCCUGCCCUCCCGAUUGUGUCGUGUCUCAACAUCAUCACCAAAGUACCUCGAGCAAAUAUUCAAGCACUCAGCAGCAACAUAUGCUUCUGCAAUCGACCCUUCAGGCCUUGCCAUAUUCCUCACAAACCGUUUCAAUGUAAGCAACCUUCUUUCUACUGGGUA
Molecule: long non-coding RNA, 301 nt
Filed under: Sorghum bicolor (sorghum)
Lineage: Eukaryota; Viridiplantae; Streptophyta; Magnoliopsida; Poales; Poaceae
Description: long non-coding RNA (SBIC_LNC012574)
Source: RNAcentral